This 90-nucleotide transfer RNA is filed under the name Vibrio japonicus. RNAcentral describes it as "tRNA-Ser". It matches the Rfam family "tRNA". Rfam says of the family: Transfer RNA (tRNA) molecules are approximately 80 nucleotides in length. Their secondary structure includes four short double-helical elements and three loops (D, anti-codon, and T loops). The record is from RNAcentral. Lineage: Bacteria; Pseudomonadati; Pseudomonadota; Gammaproteobacteria; Vibrionales; Vibrionaceae.
GCGACACUAGCUCAGUUGGUAGAGCGCAACCUUGCUAAGGUUGAGGUCACGCCUGUUUUUUAUAAAUAGGGAACCUCGUGUGUCGCUCCA